Molecule: ribosomal RNA, 468 nt
Filed under: uncultured bacterium
Lineage: Bacteria
Description: partial 16S ribosomal RNA
Rfam family: Bacterial small subunit ribosomal RNA
Source: RNAcentral
GACGAACGCUGGCGGCGUGCUUAACACAUGCAAGUCGAACGGAAAGGCCCUGCUUUUGUGGGGUGCUCGAGUGGCGAACGGGUGAGUAACACGUGAGUAGCCUGCCCUUGACUUUGGGAUAACUUCAGGAAACUGGGGCUAAUACCGGAUAGGAGCUCCUGCUGCAUGGUGGGAGUUGGAAAGUUUCGGCGGUUGGGGAUGGACUCGCGGCUUAUCAGCUUGUUGGUGGGGUAGUGGCUUACCAAGGCUUUGACGGGUAGCCGGCCUGAGAGGGUGACCGGCCACAUUGGGACUGAGAUACGGCCCAGCCUCCUACGGGAGGCAGCAGUGGGGAAUAUUGCCCAAUGGGCGGAAGCCUGAUGCAGCAACGCCGCGUGCGGGAUGACGGCCUUCGGGUUGUAAACCGCUUUCGCCUGUGACGAAGCGUGAGUGACGGUAAUGGGUAAAGAAGCACCGGCUAACUACGUG